Molecule: ribosomal RNA, 406 nt
Filed under: uncultured bacterium
Lineage: Bacteria
Description: partial 16S ribosomal RNA
Rfam family: Bacterial small subunit ribosomal RNA
Source: RNAcentral
GAUGAACGCUAGCUACAGGCUUAACACAUGCAAGUCGAGGGACCGGCGCACGGGUGAGUAACACGUAUCCAACCUGCCCUUUACUCGGGGAUAGCCUUUCGAAAGAAAGAUUAAUACCCGAUAUAAAGGAUGGGGAUGCGUUCCAUUAGGUUGUUGGUGAGGUAACGGCUCACCAAGCCUUCGAUGGAUAGGGGUUCUGAGAGGAAGGUCCCCCACAUUGGAACUGAGGCACGGUCCAAACUGCUACGCGACGCAGGGGUGAGGAAGAUUAGUCAAUGGAGGCUAGCCUGACCCAGCCAAGUAGCGGGAAGAAUGAUGGCGUAUGGGUCGUAUACUUCUUUUAUAUAAGAAUAUGUAUUAUAUGAAUAAGGAUCGGCUAACUCCGUGCCAGCAGCCGCGGUAAUAC